CCCAUCCCAGGGGCUCAGGGGCCAUUCCAGGGCCCGUCCCAGGGGCUCAGGGCCCACCCCAGGGGCUCAGGGUGGCCAUGCUCAGGCUCAGGGCCCAUCCCAGUGCUCAGGAGCAGCUCUGACCCCAAUGCCCACAGGUGGUGCCAGGCUACGGGCACGCGGUGCUGCGCAAGACGGACCCGCGCUACACCUGCCAGCGGGAGUUCGCCCUCAAGCACCUGCCCAAGGACCCCCUGUUCAAGCUGGUGGCUCAGCUCUACAAGAUCGUCCCCAACGUGCUCCUGGAGCAGGGCAAGGCCAAGAACCCCUGGCCCAACGUGGAUGCCCACAGCGGGGUCCUGCUGCAGUACUACGGCAUGAAGGAGAUGAAUUACUACGCUGUUCUUUGCUGUGUCCUGAGCUCUGUUCUCCUUCCUGUCUGUCUGUCUGUCUGUCCCUCUGUCUGUCUGUCCCGCCUGUCCCUGUGUCUGUCCCUGUGUCUGUCUGUCCCUCCGUGCCCGCUCUGACCCCGCUCUGUCCCGCAGUACUACGGCAUGAAGGAGAUGAAUUACUACACCGUUCUGUUCGGCGUUUCCCGAGCUCUGGGCGUUCUGUCCCAGCUCAUCUGGAGCCGAGCCCUGGGCUUCCCCCUGGAGAGACCCAAAUCCAUGAGCACCAAGGGGCUGAUGCAGCUCGUGGGCUACAAAUCCGCCUGAGAAGGGACGGGGACGGGGCUCCCCCAGGGAAGAACGCAGCACUGCCGGGCCCGGCCCGGCCACCCCCGCCACUGAACCCCCCUCGGGACCCCCAGCCCACCCUGGGGUCCCCCCACACCCCGCCCCGGUGCUUGGGGGGGUCUGCAGAGCCCCCCGCCCACCCCAGCAGCUCUCACUGCGCACACUGGGAGCCCCCCCAGGCUCCCC
This 902-nucleotide long non-coding RNA is filed under the name Junco hyemalis (dark-eyed junco). RNAcentral describes it as "lncRNA (ENSJHYG00000015239.1)". The record is from RNAcentral. Lineage: Eukaryota; Metazoa; Chordata; Aves; Passeriformes; Passerellidae.